This is a long non-coding RNA of Hirundo rustica (Barn swallow), 2905 nucleotides long. RefSeq lists it as uncharacterized. The transcript has 4 exons. Lineage: Eukaryota; Metazoa; Chordata; Aves; Passeriformes; Hirundinidae. The record is from RefSeq and is a predicted model, not a curated record.
AGAGAGAGUAUCGGCUAUAACAAUUAGCGGCUCUUUGUGCCCUUUUGGGAGCAGCAAGGAGGAAGCAGAUCCAGGGAAAUGGCACUUGGAGCAGCCUGCAGUGCCCUUGGCAGUGCCGGGCAAUUAACACAAAUGAGCCAUCAGCAUUCCAGGGGGAAGGAGCUGGCCCUUGGGGGAGGACCAUGGAAUUUUUUUGGGAAGCCAAGACAGAAGGUCUGGAGCAGCUGGUGGGAGAUGGCCCCGAGUGUUUCCUAAAAACUGUGGCUGGUGUUUUCCUAAUUCAAGGAACCUCUGCCAAAAGUCAGUGCCUUUGCAAGUGCAGCAUUUCCCAACAAAACAUUCAGGGAUAUUUUUGGAGAGAAUUUUGUCAAAUUAUGGACACUUUGGGUUACUGUGGACAAAAAAAAAAAAAAAAAAAUCACUGCUCAGCUGACAGAUUUUCCUCAGUUUCUAAGUCCUAAAAGAAGAGAAAAGGGUGAUCAUCAGGAAGGGAUUUCUAGGGAAUGCCAAUCCUGCGGCAUCUCUGUGUCAUUGCCUGUGGAACUGUGACAUUUUGGAGCUACAAACUGGAGAGCAGGAGUGGAGGGUUGUAGGAUUGUCUGGCCAGUGUCCUGGCCAUCAGCAGCACAUCCCACCACGGGUCCUCUGCUGUGCUGAAAUGAUCAAACUCACCAUCUCCUUUCAGCUGAGAAAGAAAUGUGGCAUUAAAAAGAGACAGAGCAAAGACCCCCAGGGCUGGGAUGCUGCUGAUCAAAGCACACCCAGGGACGUGAACUCACCUCAAAGGCUCCAGCCACAGCUCUCAUUCAUCCGUGAAUAUAUUCCUCCUACUUCAUCCUCUGCUAGUUAUUAUUUCUGUCAUCCCUGUUUUCCCUAGGAAGUGGUCUUCAUUUGUUUCAAGGUGGUCCUUAUUCGGUGGUGGUCGUUUUUCAUGGUGGUCAUUAUUUCAUGGUCCUGCCCCAGUCAUUAUCAAUUGAUGGCAUCGUUCCAUGUUCUUCACAGAAGAAUUCCAGUCAGGAUCUCUGUCCUGCAAUUCCUGUUUGUGGCCAACACGACAGCAGUGAGGGGGAAAGUGUGAAGGCAGCUUUAGUUUGUUUGGUUUCAGUCCAGUCACUUCCCCAAGUUGCGUUCUCCAGCAUCCCAUGGAUGUUGUGGCACAGGUAAAAUAAUGACACCGCCUGAGUUUUGGGGGUGUUUCACCUCUAUGUUCAGAGAGGAUUUGCAGCCCAGGACACAGAUUCCCAAUCCAUGCUCCCAUGAAAAUUAGGGGUGUUUUAGGAGAAUCUUUCCCUGCUUGCCCUGGAGGCUGAAGAUUUUGUUUGUUUGUUUUUUGCUGCCUGUGUGUGGUUGUACUGAUCUUCCUGUCUCCUGGGUCGUGAGACAGUGGAAGCUGAUCAAAAACCACUUGGGGUCAUCCCAAUCUUCCAAAACGCCUCGUGCAGAGAAAAUACCUUUCCAAUAAUAUCUUCAGCACAACUCCUGGGUUUUUGCAUGAUGCAGAGGUGUCACCACGGGGCUCAGCAAUAAUCCUAAUAUGGAUUUAGAACCCCCAGAUGUCGGACAGGGAGGAAGAACCAGUUAUGUGCUGCCCCUUGUUUCCAGGAGUUAACUGAGGCCUGCGAAAGGAAAUAUUAUUGAUUAUCUUUCAGGGUAAAAAAUUAGCUGUGUUUGCCCAGAUAUGUUCAGCAUCAUUGUAUAUUGACUAAACGUAUGAAAGAUGGAUAAGAUACAACCGUGACAGGCACAUCCUGUCUGGAGCAAUGGCCUUCAUUAACUUGAUUAUUAAAGUGAACAUAUUAACACCGAGUCCUGCAGCCCCUCUGCCUCCCUGUGCGAGCAGCAGCGUUUCAAUCUUGUGUUCACUGGGCUCUAAUUCCAGUUUUCCAAUGACACAACCUUCGGGAUAACUUUUCCCAUGCUCUUCUGAGAGACGGGGAGACAGAGAAGGAAUGAGAACACCACCCCGAGCAAUGUGGGCUAAGCGUGAGGAAAAACCUGCUUCCUUCACGUUGAAAAUUAAGUUUAUUUUCACAAUUGGUUUGAAAAACGGGAAAAUCACUUCAUUUCCCAGAUAACCUGAUUCAUCUGCUAUUUGCAAGGUGCUGCUUGACAUCCAAAAAUGAGCAUUUAAGCAGCAAGGAUGUGGUCACUGAAAGAAAAGCAAGGAUGUGCUCACCCUUGGUUGGACUCGCUAUGCUGCUCUGAGGUUGCCUGGGCCAGCUCCAUUUAUUCCAGACUCCAUGAGGAAUUUGGCUAGUUGCUGUGAUGAAUUAAGGGGCCAAGAAGAUGGAGUGCUUUAAUCAUAAUUGCCUGUUCAAGAGCCAAACUUCAAGGCAAGGAUUUAAUAUCUUUAAGUGCAUGUGAUAAUAAUAAUAAUAAUAAUGGCAAAAGUUACACUGUAAGGAGUAAUUUCAGUUUCUAAAAUAAGUCUCUGGAAUAAUACUCUACCAAGUAAUUUGUGUAGCUACAUAAAUAUUCCCUGUGUUCCUUAAAGCACCUCCUUUUUUUCUUCUUCAAGUCUGCAAAUUACCCUUUUAUGAGAUGCUGUACAAACUAACUACUAUAUCUAUUCAGAGUAUGAUAAUAUCUCCUUGCCUUUGAAUGAAAUAUUUGGCCCUUGAGGAUAUGCCAGUAGCUCUCCUCACAAAAUACCUGGAAAUUGAAUAAGAUCUGCAGCUUUAUUAUGUACAUAUAAUACUGGAACCUGUGGGAUUAUGUGUAGUAACCUUAUUCACAGAACCAGGAGAUGUAUUUGCAGAAUAUAUUUUAGGCUGGGACAGCUCGGUAACGCAUUUAUAACAUCCUUUGCUCAUGUGGAUUGCUCUCAGAGAAAUGCCAAAGGUCUGAGCUCGGAGAAGGGACAAGGGUACCCAGUCCAAUCUGAGUAUUUAAAGUGCAACAUUUC